This 73-nucleotide transfer RNA is filed under the name Loxodonta africana (African savanna elephant). RNAcentral's name for it is "tRNA-Tyr (GTA) (tRNA-Tyr-GTA-2-1)". It matches the Rfam family "tRNA". Rfam says of the family: Transfer RNA (tRNA) molecules are approximately 80 nucleotides in length. Their secondary structure includes four short double-helical elements and three loops (D, anti-codon, and T loops). Further hydrogen bonds mediate the characteristic L-shaped molecular structure. tRNAs have two regions of fundamental functional importance: the anti-codon, which is responsible for specific mRNA codon recognition, and the 3' end, to which the tRNAs corresponding amino acid is attached (by aminoacyl-tRNA synthetases). tRNAs cope with the degeneracy of the genetic code in two manners: having more than one tRNA (with a specific anti-codon) for a particular amino acid; and 'wobble' base-pairing, i.e. permitting non-standard base-pairing at the 3rd anti-codon position. Lineage: Eukaryota; Metazoa; Chordata; Mammalia; Proboscidea; Elephantidae. The record is from RNAcentral. RNAcentral also lists the same sequence under 1 other name.
CCUUCGGUAGCUCAGUUGGUAGAGCGGAGGACUGUAGAUCCUUAGGUCGCUGGUUCGAAUCCGGCCCGAAGGA